This 484-nucleotide ribosomal RNA is filed under the name uncultured bacterium. RNAcentral's name for it is "partial 16S ribosomal RNA". It matches the Rfam family "Bacterial small subunit ribosomal RNA", at positions 30 to 507 of the family's 1533-position model. The record is from RNAcentral.
AUUGAACGCUGGCGGCAGGCCUAACACAUGCAAGUCGAGCGGAUGAAGGGAGCUUGCUCCUGGAUUCAGUUGCGGACGGGUGAGUAAUGCCUAGGAAUCUGCCUGGUAGUGGGGGAUAACGUCCGGAAAGGGGCGCUAAUACCGCAUACGUCCUGAGGUAGAAAGUGGGGGAUCUUCGGACCUCACGCUAUCAGAUGAGCCUACGUCGGAUUAGCUAGUUGGUGGGGUAAAGGCCUACCAAGGCGACGAUCCGUAACUGGUCUGAGAGGAUGAUCAGUCACACUGGAACUGAGACACGGUCCAGACUCCUACGGGAGGUAGCAGUGGGGAAUAUUGCACAAUGGGCGAAAGCCUGAUCCAGCCACGCCGCGUGUGUGAAGAAGGUCUUCGGAUUGUAGAGCACUUUUAGUUGGGAGGAAGGGCAGUAAGUUAAUACCUGGCUGUUUUGACGUUACCAACAGAAUAAGCACCGGCUAACUUCGUG